Molecule: long non-coding RNA, 1768 nt
Organism: Girardinichthys multiradiatus
Lineage: Eukaryota; Metazoa; Chordata; Actinopteri; Cyprinodontiformes; Goodeidae
Exons: 6
Source: RefSeq, a predicted model, not a curated record
AUCCAACAUUCAGCCAAUGAGGUCGAGUCUAUUUUCAUACAACCACACCCGUCUUGUCAGAACCAAUCCGAAAGAGUCUACUCCUGCAGAUCAGAUCACAUAAUUGGACUGUUUCUGUCAGUCUGUCCAAUCAGAGGUUUUACUAUCAUUAAGGAGGACCUCUCAUUGAUGCGUUGCAUGCAGUCUGUCCAGAUCCCACAUGGCAGAGGAAGAGGAGGAAAGGAUGUUCUUUAACGAAAGCAAAGGAGUAAAACAACCAGCACCCACUGAAGUCCAGCUCUCUGGUCUAGCAGCCUGUAUGAGGAAGACACCACGCCUUAGUAGAAGUCUUUCAGGCGAGCUGGAGGCUGAGCUGCUGGGCUGCGACUGCAGAGGAGUGUUAGUUUCAUCAACAGAUGGAGACAGAGAGGGGCUGUCACACACCCUUUCCUAAAAACACAGAGAGAGGAGCGUCACACACCAACAAGGGCAGAAUGGAGAGCAAACGAACUGAAGAUGUUCUCUCCAGAGAGAAAGAAGAUGGUAUUUCCUGUAAUUCAUCACAUGAGCUGAACAAGGCGAGAUAUCAGCUGGUUUAAAGCUCCCACCUUAGACCAGAUUAACAUGACCUGUUCCGUGUGUCGAGUCGGUUCUGUGACAGGUUCCCUGGACUUCAUGACAGAUUUUUAAUCAAACUUUUCACUUUGAUAAAAGAGUGCGAUAAACAUAGCUUUAGCGGAUCUGGUGUUUAUAUAUAGUUUCCAUAAUGGACGGCAGGUUCGUAAUCACUAAAAAAGUUUCAUGGGACCUAUUUUUAAGCUCCUCGUGCAGUUUCAUGACAUCAUGGGCCACUAAACGGACUCACUUUAAACUCAAAUUAACACAAAAUGUCUUAAAUGGGAAAAAAGAAUAAAGGUUUUACUUCAGGAUGUAUUUUUAACGCUGAAUGACGACAAAAAUAGUAAACGGAAAAUUAAAACUAUGCCUCUAGCUAAAGGAAAAGAUAAUAAUUAGUAAAACUUACCUUUAUUUUAAUUUUGUUUGAUUCUAUGAUACAUUUUAGUAAUUAAAUAAAAAAUUAAAUAAAAAAGUUUUAAUACACAGUAAUAACAGUACCCUCCACACUUAAUAGCACUGCGGGAUAAGAAGUGAAAUAAAUACUUUUCUCUGUAUUACAGCCGAAAAAAUCUAUGUUUUUACUUAACAUGUUUUGACUUACUUAAAAAAAGUAACAAUAAGAAGUAGUUUUUAUUUUCUUUAAAUCACGGUGGAGAAACUUGCCCAUAUCUACUGUCAGAGCAGUUGUUUAAAAGAAGCGGGACAAAAGAAACAGCAGUGAUCAGGACGGUAAGGAAGGUAAAAUAAUCUCUAUAAUUUAGUGAGGUCAGGCGCUUUAAUCACGCAAAGGUCUAAAUGUGAAUAAUCUCUAAUCAUCUAAAUUCAUGCAGUAAAUGCCCUCUUUGGCCCCUCCUGAGUUAGAUUAUUAAUUUGUUGUUCUUUAGGUUCUCGUUGGUCCAAUUCCUCAAAUUAUCUGUUUUAUUUUGUAGAAACUCUCUAAACUGCUAAGUUCAACUUCUCCCUUUGUUUUACUAUGAAACCAACCGACUCUUAACUCUGUAGGACAAAGCGUCUCAGUUCUUGAUUUAUAAACAUUCAUUCAGAUUUUCUUUACAAACCAGCUGUAUUUUCCCAGGUGUACAUCCAAAGGUUAAAAUCACUGCAAGUACCGUAAAGAACCUGCUGUGAAUACAAGAAAACAUGUAAUGGCAAUAAAACUCUAAUAACCGAC